UACAUAGGGGGCAAGCGUUAUCCGGAAUUAUUGGGCGUAAAGCGUGCGUAGGCGGUUUAUUAAGUCUGAUGUGAAAUGUCACAGCUUAACUGUGAAGGGUCAUUGGAAACUGGUAAACUUGAGUACAGUAGGGGUAAGUGGAAUUCCAAGUGGAGCGGUGGAAUGCGUAGAGAUUUGGAGGAACACCAGUGGCGAAGGCGGCUUACUGGACUGUAACUGACACUGAGGCUCGAAAGCGUGGGGAGCAAACAGG
This 253-nucleotide ribosomal RNA is filed under the name uncultured bacterium. RNAcentral's name for it is "partial 16S ribosomal RNA". It matches the Rfam family "Bacterial small subunit ribosomal RNA", at positions 524 to 776 of the family's 1533-position model. The record is from RNAcentral.